GGAAUAUUGGACAAUGGGGGGAACCCUGAUCCAGCGACGCCGCGUGAGUGAAGAAGUAUUUCGGUAUGUAAAGCUCUAUCAGCAGGGAAGAAGAAAAUGACGGUACCUGACUAAGAAGCCCCGGCUAACUACGUGCCAGCAGCCGCGGUAAUACGUAUGGGGCAAGCGUUAUCCGGAUUUACUGGGUGUAAAGGGAGCGUAGGCGGCCUGGCAAGCCUGAUGUGAAAUACCGGGGCCCAACCCCGGGGCUGCAUUGGGAACUGCCAGGCUGGAGUGCCGGAGAGGCAGGCGGAAUUCCUAGUGUAGCGGUGAAAUGCGUAGAUAUUAGGAGGAACACCAGUGGCGAAGGCGGCCUGCUGGACGGUGACUGACGCUGAGGCUCGAAAGUGUGGGGAGCAAA
Molecule: ribosomal RNA, 400 nt
Filed under: uncultured bacterium
Lineage: Bacteria
Description: bacterial SSU rRNA
Rfam family: Bacterial small subunit ribosomal RNA
Source: RNAcentral